This is a long non-coding RNA of Nannospalax galili (Upper Galilee mountains blind mole rat), 3417 nucleotides long. RefSeq lists it as uncharacterized. The record is from RefSeq and is a predicted model, not a curated record. Lineage: Eukaryota; Metazoa; Chordata; Mammalia; Rodentia; Spalacidae. The transcript has 4 exons.
GAAAAAAAAAAAUGUCCACAAAGAGGCUUCCUAUUUCUUGGGUUAAAAAACUCAAGUUAUUGCUUGUCCCAUAAGCAGGUCUUUAGCCUGGAUUAUAAUUUUAGAAAGCAAGCAAUUGAAUUACAAAGUUCAGGAGUCUUCAUACAAGCCGAGCUCAGCAGCCCAGCUUCAGAGAAAACAAGGCCCAGAAAGGAGAUGUGGUUUGCUUCAAAGUCACAGAACUAAGGGACAGCAGCCUCCCUGCCUCCCUGUCUCCUAAUUCUUCCACCAUUAAAAACCAAACAAGAGACAAUGGACAGCACAGACAAGCCUCAGUCACUGUCAGAGACGUUUCUCUUUCCUGUCCAGCACCCUUCACUCAGCCUGCUCAGUCUGUUGAAUAAGCGGACUCUUCAGCUUCUGCUCAGUUUGUAGGAUCUAGCAAAUGCCGUGGCCAUCAGACUCUGGCUCUUACUGUGCUGUGUGUUUCAAGACAUGUUUGCUGAUCUCUGUAAAGGAAUAUUCCUUCUGCUUAUUGCCUAGGAGACACACACAUGUACAUGCAUGUGCAUGUUCAUUCUUCUAUGGAAAAGUAAAACCUCUGAUACGUCUCUGGACUCCACAGUUGCCACAACUUUAUUUGAAGUCAAAGCCACCAUAGGCUUCAGCCUCCUGUGACCUCGACCCAGCACACAGGAAGCCAAAUAAAGAAUUUUGCUUCAUCUUCUUCAGACAUGACAAAGACCAAAAGAGAAGUUCUGCCUGUGUCACUUGGCUCCAUCCUCAUCAAAGUUUGCCUCCCACAGAAUUUUAAUAUUCCAUCACUGUACUAAUUAUUUGCCUUUUUAAGAUUCUUAGAUAGUGUGCGUGUAAUGUGCACAAAUGUGUCCAGACUUGCACACUAAUCCUCUCUUGCCCUUGCCGUCAGUAAUUGGGCUAAGUGUCAGGUGGAAGCUAAUUAGCGUCAAGGGCUAACCUUUAAAAACUCUCCCUGUUCAAUAUCUCUCUGAUGAAGACUUUGCAGUUAAACAUGGUUCUGCUAAUGGAAGAAAUUUAUUACUAAAAGAAUGUUAUCACACGCAUAUAGUCAUUGGUACAUGGUCUUUAGAUAGAGACAUGUAUUACGUUUUGUGUCCAUGGCUCCAAGAACAAAACUGAGAUGACAUCAGAUGUUCAAUAUUGUCCUCCCCCUUCCCAGGACUUUUGUGCAGUGGGUAUUUUUCUCACAUACACAUUCCUCUCUUCAGAUUAAGGGGAUACUUUUUUAAGUGUUGAGAUUUAGUAUUUCGUCUUCAGUCUUUGUAACGGCUCCUUAUAAAACCAUUGACAAGGCUACAACCACACCUUAGGCAUCUCAACCUCAAGCCAGAAGUCAGAAGUGUUUUAAGUAUAGCAGCAAGGGAACUCAGAACAUCCAGAUUCUUAAAUAUAUCAUAAAUAUCUAUUACAAAGAAUAUUACUCUUGGUAAGAAUGUCCUUUUCUUAGUGCAAGAUUUUUCUCUUCAUACUUAACCUACCCACAGUUGAUGAGGUUAUGCAUUGUACCUUAAUCUGGUUCUAUUAUGAUAGCCAUAAUUAAAAUGACUUUUCUCUGCAGUGCUCAAGGAAAAAGAUGAUUUUUUUUCCUCCUAACAACUAUAAAAACAUAAUAACAAAAUGAAUAUGGAAAAUUUGAAAUGAUAAUAUCUCUCCUAAUUCUCUCUUUUUAAAGGACAUAAAGGGUCAGUUUUAACACAAAGUAAUAAUUUUUGGGAAGCACAGAGCCACCUGGAGAACUGACUUAAAAUUCCUAGGUCUAAUUCAUACAUUCUGUUUUUUCAAUUUGGGAGUUGGGCUCAGGUUUGCACCUUCUACUAAUGCCAUAGGUUACCUGGACAUUAAUAGUCAGAACACAAAGCUUUAAAAAACACCAAUUUCCCUCAUUUUUUCCUUAUAUAAUACACAGCUCUCAGUCUUCCAACUCUAACUUUCUGUUAUCCACUAGCUAUUUAUGUAUACUACAUAGAUGACUCUAAGCCCAGUGGAAUUUAUGAGCUCUGCAUUUAAAUUCCAAGUCUUCUCUAAAAUGAAUUUAUUCAGAUAGAUUCAUAUAACACCACUAAUGGGCCAAAGGGGCAGAAACAUAUUUAUAGAUUUCACUCUGUGUUGCCAUAUUGCUUUCUCCUGGUGUUAAGGAAUUUAUAUUUAAAUCAACAGAUUAAGAGGACCAAUAUUUACCACAAUGUCACCAGCAAUGUAUAUUUGAAUUUAUUUUUACUUUGUUCUGCUAAGUUAGUCAGUGUAAAAUGGUAUCUCAAGGUGGAUUUAAUUUGCACUUUUUGCAUUUCUGGUGGAGAUCAAUAUGUUUCCUUGUACUUCUUUGCUAUUUAUAAGUUUCCCAGAAUUACAGUUAAACUUUUUAAUCUCUCUUGGGUUUAGGGCAAGGCUUAUUGCUUCUUUCUUUAAUGUUAAGACAACUGAUACUUAACAAAGACCAGACCAAAAGCCAUCAAGGGAACAGAGACUCAGGCUUAAUCCAUCAUUCAGGCCAGAUUACCUUGGUCUUAAGGCAAAAACCCCUGGGCGAAAAACAUGUAUGAAGAAAAGUAUUCCAAGUCAGAGUCCCUAGGGGAGGUUCUGAGACCAAGAUUUGUAUUCAGGGAAUUAUUGGGCAGGUCAAUGUCUGGAGGGACUUCAGCAUGCUGGGGCUGGCAGUGGGAAAUGCUCCACAUCUGCUAUGUCAGAGAUCGACCCAAGGAGCUUCAGGGGUUGAAUAACCUCUUUUCUGUCUUGUUUUGAAACAAACGUGUUCCUUCCCAAGCAUGUAGAAUAGCCAUUUGGUGUAACUGCUCAAGGGAAAGGAUUGUAAGGCAACUGUUAUCAGUGGAAUGUCACUUAGUCAGGGCACUCAGGUGAGAAUUUUCACACACCAGCAUCUACAAUCAGCUAUUUUCCAGCUGGGAAGACGAAAGCCUCGCACCCAAAGAGGGAAUCUAAGUGACGCACCAGUGGGUGCUCUGCAAAAGGAAUCUGCUCUUUAUUAAAACACUAUCUCUUCUUUAGUGUAUGUUCUUGUUUUACUUAUCUACUGAUCUAGUACAAACCAUUCCCAAAUUUAGCAGCUUAAAACAGCAAUAAUAAGUCAGAGAACGUGGAGGAGUGUUGUGAAAUGCUGUCUUCUGGAUGUGAAUUAGCCAUUGUACUCAUGAACUCACUGCAGCUAUAGUUACCAGUACAAGACCUGCACAAGAUCAAGCCAACAAGAUCAGUCAGCAUUACAGCAGGCAACAUUAAUUGGACUUACUGGGUUACCAAAAAAUAAAGGAGAGGACAUGAAGUGGAGAUGGGGAUGUAUUGGCAUGCUUGGGGGGAAUGGAAGGAUGGGAGUACAUAUGAUCAAGAUGCAUUGUUUAUCUGUAUAAAAUUAUCAAAGGAAAAAAUACAUAAUAAUCUAUUAAA